This 439-nucleotide ribosomal RNA is filed under the name uncultured bacterium. RNAcentral describes it as "partial 16S ribosomal RNA". It matches the Rfam family "Bacterial small subunit ribosomal RNA", at positions 339 to 795 of the family's 1533-position model. The record is from RNAcentral.
CUACGGGAGGCUGCAGUGGGGAAUAUUGCACAAUGGGGGAAACCCUGAUGCAGCAACGCCGCGUGAGUGAUGACGGUCUUCGGAUUGUAAAGCUCUGUCUUCAGGGACGAUAAUGACGGUACCUGAGGAGGAAGCCACGGCUAACUACGUGCCAGCAGCCGCGGUAAUACGUAGGUGGCAAGCGUUGUCCGGAUUUACUGGGCGUAAAGGGAGCGUAGGUGGAUAUUUAAGUGGGAUGUGAAAUACUCGGGCUUAACCUGGGUGCUGCAUUCCAAACUGGAUAUCUAGAGUGCAGGAGAGGAAAGUAGAAUUCCUAGUGUAGCGGUGAAAUGCGUAGAGAUUAGGAAGAAUACCAGUGGCGAAGGCGACUUUCUGGACUGUAACUGACACUGAGGCUCGAAAGCGUGGGGAGCAAACAGGAUUAGAUACCCGCGUAGUC